This is a long non-coding RNA of Pteropus alecto (black flying fox), 2576 nucleotides long. RefSeq lists it as uncharacterized. The transcript has 2 exons. Lineage: Eukaryota; Metazoa; Chordata; Mammalia; Chiroptera; Pteropodidae. The record is from RefSeq and is a predicted model, not a curated record.
UGUCAUUCCGAUUUUCAAGGCACAAUAGCUUUAGCCAGCACAGUGUUUACUGAGCUUUAGAAAGGAUCCAGAAGAGAGAGUGCCCAGAGCAACAGCAUCACAGAGGCCUUGGGUGCAGCUUCUGACAUCCCCAAUCACAUGCAUUGGGUAUGUUUUGGUCACAUGAAAUGAAAAGAAGCUGAAGUGAACGUGGACCAUGUCAGCAUAAGGAAGCCACAGGGUUUAGGAUCCCUGAGCCUAAACACUUUGCUCACCCCCUGGCCCCUACUCUUUAUUGCAGCUACAGUCCAUGAAUGACAGAUUAUACAACAAUCUCGACAACUAGGUACAGCAUACUUGGAAACAUUUGUGGAUCCCUCAUUUAACCCCAAUGGAUAUUUCAAAAAGUUUAACUAAAGCUCAAACUCUGCUCAAGCGUCCCUGAAGCUGGAGUGAGAUUUAUAGUCCAGCUGUUCUUUCCUUUCACCAGGUCACGUGUAGAAUCCUGGCUGAAAGGGAGCCUGGCAAAUGCAGUUUUUAGCCACUCCAGCAUCUAUAGUUCAGGAAGCCAAACAAGGAGAAAGUUGGAACAGAUGCUGUGUGGACCAGAACACAGCAUUACCACACUGUCUAACUGCGUAAAGAGAGUCGGGUGAUGGACCUAUAAAACCACCCCCCGAAGUUGUGACUUUGGAUAAAUCAUACACUGACUUGAGUUUUCAGUUUCCUCUCUGCCACAAGAGAGAUUUGGACUGUAUUGCUUUAGCAAUUAGUCUAACUGUAACAUGUAAUUCCAUAAUUUCAGGCAAAUCUAUUUCAAAUUCGCUGAGCUUCAGCACCACAGACGACACAUAUAAAUAGACUGCAUAGCUGAUGCCUUUAAAUUGGAAAUUCAUCCAACGUCAGAACUUGAGCUCUUUCGUAUCUUUUCGUAUCUGUGCUAUUUUCAGAUUUGUGAAGUAUUUUUAAGGGGACUUGUACAGUCAGUUGACUUUAACUCAUAUUCAUAAUAUUUGAUUUUAUAAGCUUAAAAUCUCUAAGGAUAUUUUAAAUUAUUUUGGACACAUUUAAUUUCUGGAAAAUAUGUUUAUAAAGAAAAUACAUACAAAUAAAAUAUUGUGUCAAGUGGCAUUCAUCAACUUUUGGGGUAAAAGUGAACCUCAAUGGGACCUAUGGGACCUACAGGCCUGAUAAAGAGAAGUGUCAGAUCAUUACCUUCUAAGUAAAAAUCCCCGAAGGAACUUUGGUAUACAUACAAACGAAACAAAUCAGUGGUUGAAUAUCAACCAUGUAACCAUUUAUUUACUACUUUGGGAUCUUUCUCUUUGGCUUAGCUUUCCUCACAAAUUUGUUUCUUAAACUCUUGCUAUGCUGUAAGAAUGGUAAAGUUCUAUUUAUCUCUUUGAAUAAUAUAAACUUCAGAGAGACAUUGAAGAGGCAUAGUGGUUAUAGAAGCAGAACUUGGAGAUGCUUUGAUUAAUUAGAAAUUAAAAAUCUCACUGACAUGUGAUAUUCACCUCACUGCAACAGUCAUCAACAAACAAAAACAAAAAACCCAAAUCAGUUAAGCAUAUUUUUAUAAACUUAAUGGGCCAAACAAAACCUAAUGUGCCCAAGCCUAAUGUGUUUAAUGGUCCAGAUUUCAGCAAUAACUAAGAAGAGAUCAAAAACCGAAACAUACUUUGACAAAUUAUUUUGAAUAUUCGUCCAGGGGUAGUUUAUCUUCUGCCUCUGAGAGUGGGAUUGAUUUUGGAAAAUAAUCAAAUGUAGCCAAUACAGUGGAUAAUUAAUCUGACAGUAUACUACACAUUGCUUAUUAUUCAAAAUGAUAAAUAGACUGAUUUCCUGUGCAGUUGAAACCAGUUCUUUUGAUGAGUGGGACCCGUAAUUGAAAAAGCUCAUACACUGAGAAUUUUGUGUUCCUAUUUUUGCUUUCACCAUUCUUCACGUGCUACCUCUAAUUCCUAGCUCUCUCAGCUUUGAAACUAGUAAGCUAGGUUAUAAUUUUUGAAUGAUCUACUUCUCGAAAUGACCUCUCGCUCUUCUGGCUAGUUCCUUUUCAGUUUUAUAGUAAUAACAUCCAUGAUGGAAGAGACCAGCACAUGCUUCUACCUGAAAAGGUCUGAGAACCUUUAUUGACUGGUUAAUGGAGAGAAUGUGGGGAAGCCAGAGGACCUGAGGCUCAGAAGAACCAUUUGAAACCUUAGCACUCUCUGGGAAGAAAAGAUAAGUGGCGGCUGUUGGGGAGACAAAAGGAUAUGGCGAGGACGAUGGGGAUCUCCAGCAUGUGGGUCUUGUCAGAAGGGAGCGGGAUCAACAUCCAUAGCAUGUACAAUACAAAGAGUAAACCCCAAUAUAAACAAUGGGCUUCAGUUAAUAAUAAUGUAUCAGUACUGGCUCACUGAUUGUAACCAAUGUCCUACACUAAUGCAAGAUACUUAUAAUGAGCAAAACUGCAUGCAAGAGGGUACAGGUGGGAACUCUACUUUCUGGGAAAUUUUUCUGGAAAGUGUCUUAAAAUGUAAAGUGUACCAUUUUUAUUUUUUAGAUGUUAUUGGGCCAGGUAUAUAAAAAUAAAAUAAUAGAAAUACUAUGUA